GGGGGCAUAGCUCAGUUGGGAGAGCACCUGCCUUGCAAGCAGGGGGUCGAGAGUUCGAAUCUCUCUGUCUCCAC
This 74-nucleotide transfer RNA is filed under the name uncultured Clostridium sp. Its description in RNAcentral is "tRNA-Ala(tgc)". It matches the Rfam family "tRNA". Rfam says of the family: Transfer RNA (tRNA) molecules are approximately 80 nucleotides in length. Their secondary structure includes four short double-helical elements and three loops (D, anti-codon, and T loops). The record is from RNAcentral. Lineage: Bacteria; Bacillati; Bacillota; Clostridia; Eubacteriales; Clostridiaceae.